Dendronephthya gigantea is the source of this 1333-nucleotide long non-coding RNA. RefSeq lists it as uncharacterized. The record is from RefSeq and is a predicted model, not a curated record. The transcript has 3 exons. NCBI's taxonomy places the organism in Eukaryota, Metazoa, Cnidaria, Anthozoa, Malacalcyonacea, Nephtheidae.
UGGAUGGAAAAGUAAAACUGUAAAAUAUAUUCCCUUCAGGUUCUCCUUUGAAAACAAGACUUCAAGGUAAUUAAAACCAGGCAUGGCAACCACAACACCUUCAUCAUAUCGUAUUGCGAAGAAAAUUACCCGCCACUACAAUCAUAUCUCGUUUUUACGUACAUGUAAGUCUUUGAAAUUAAUACCUAAUGGUCUACGCGCAACAUACUCUUUUGAAAACUUAAAAUAGAGAAGAAUAAUUAAUCAUAGAUAAUAUAGACUGAUUGAUAAUUGUAUCAAUCCCCAAUUUACACUAACCUUACUAUAUAAGACAAUGAAAGUGCAUACAAUGUAUCAUGGAGGAAAAACAAAAGAUUUCAUCGAUGAUAUAAAUAUUGCUUCCUUGCUGACUCAAUUGUGGUGGAACAGUAAGUGAUACCCUUGUUGUUGUACGUGGAGUUCUUAUGAUGAUCUGUGUUUAGCAAACUUGGUUUCUGUCUACUUUUUAAUCCCAGAUUUUGUAUUUUGUGUGGUCAGUUGUAUUUUGAAAAUGAUCCUGUCGAACUAAAGUGUCAGUAUAGUUGAGUAGUUGGUAAUAAGUAACUGCAUCUGGUUGUAGGCAAUGCUACCAAAAAUACAGUCUAUCAUUCCUAUGAAUUCCUAUGAUAUUAUUUAAUAAUCAGGAUUGACUUCUUAAACAUAAUAAUUCAAUUUAUUCUGAUAUAGGGCUCAUAAAAGAAUAUCCCGCUCUUUGACUUAUUUAUUACAGAGGAGAAAAAAAUGAAAGCAGUUGCUCAUCCACAAACCUAACACUGCUCAUUGUCACGGCGGUGGUACUGAUAUUCUUUUUUCUUCCGGUGGGUUUUAUCGUCUACUGGUGUACGAAAAAAAAUUAUCUGCAAUGUCAGGGAGAAGGAUUACUGGGCGCUCCCGCCAGGGCAACGACGAUACAAGCAAUUACAUACAGGUCAGCUCCUGCAAAAUCAAACCUCUUCUUUUCUUAUGAAACUCGUGGAGCUGCUCACUCCUGAAGGUAGGCCAAACUGGAAAGAUCUAGCGGCAAAUUUUGGCGAUUUCGCUUACGAGGAAAUCGCGAACUUCGGAGUUGGCAAAACUACAGUGGAGACCAAAAUCACGUCAACCAUCGACAAAUUAUAUAGAUGUUGUCUCAACAUUAAGAAGGAAGAUGUGGCGACGUACAUUGCCGAUUGUGUAAGCCAAAUAACAGACACUACACUUGUGUAGACAAUUGGCCUUUUUUGACAGGCGAUAUCCGCCGUUUCCUGCAUGCCUAUAUGGGUACCAAGUGAGCACACGACUUCGUUUCGACGUGGAAUUUUGGUUGAACUUUUGU